RNAcentral lists this ribosomal RNA (924 nucleotides) under Escherichia coli. RNAcentral describes it as "partial 23S ribosomal RNA". It matches the Rfam family "Bacterial large subunit ribosomal RNA", at positions 1 to 955 of the family's 2925-position model. RNAcentral also lists the same sequence under 1 other name. The record is from RNAcentral. Lineage: Bacteria; Pseudomonadati; Pseudomonadota; Gammaproteobacteria; Enterobacterales; Enterobacteriaceae.
GGGUUGUGAGGUUAAGCGACUAAGCGUACACGGUGGAUGCCCUGGCAGUCAGAGGCGAUGAAGGACGUGCUAAUCUGCGAUAAGCGUCGGUAAGGUGAUAUGAACCGUUAUAACCGGCGAUUUCCGAAUGGGGAAACCCAGUGUGAUUCGUCACACUAUCAUUAACUGAAUCCAUAGGUUAAUGAGGCGAACCGGGGGAACUGAAACAUCUAAGUACCCCGAGGAAAAGAAAUCAACCGAGAUUCCCCCAGUAGCGGCGAGCGAACGGGGAGCAGCCCAGAGCCUGAAUCAGUGUGUGUGUUAGUGGAAGCGUCUGGAAAGGCGCGCGAUACAGGGUGACAGCCCCGUACACAAAAAUGCACAUGCUGUGAGCUCGAUGAGUAGGGCGGGACACGUGGUAUCCUGUCUGAAUAUGGGGGGACCAUCCUCCAAGGCUAAAUACUCCUGACUGACCGAUAGUGAACCAGUACCGUGAGGGAAAGGCGAAAAGAACCCCGGCGAGGGGAGUGAAAAAGAACCUGAAACCGUGUACGUACAAGCAGUGGGAGCACAGAGCAAUCUGUGUGACUGCGUACCUUUUGUAUAAUGGGUCAGCGACUUAUAUUCUGUAGCAAGGUUAACCGAAUAGGGGAGCCGAAGGGAAACCGAGUCUUAACUGGGCGUUAAGUUGCAGGGUAUAGACCCGAAACCCGGUGAUCUAGCCAUGGGCAGGUUGAAGGUUGGGUAACACUAACUGGAGGACCGAACCGACUAAUGUUGAAAAAUUAGCGGAUGACUUGUGGCUGGGGGUGAAAGGCCAAUCAAACCGGGAGAUAGCUGGUUCUCCCCGAAAGCUAUUUAGGUAGCGCCUCGUGAAUUCAUCUCCGGGGGUAGAGCACUGUUUCGGCAAGGGGGUCAUCCCGACUUACCAACCCGAUGCAAACU